GGUAGGGGAGCGUUCUGUAAGCCUGCGAAGGUGGCCUGUGAGGGCUGCUGGAGGUAUCAGAAGUGCGAAUGCUGACAUAAGUAACGAUAAAGCGGGUGAAAAGCCCGCUCGCCGGAAGACCAAGGGUUCCUGUCCAACGUUAAUCGGGGCAGGGUGAGUCGACCCCUAAGGCGAGGCCGAAAGGCGUAGUCGAUGGGAAACAGGUUAAUAUUCCUGUACUUGGUGUUACUGCGAAGGGGGGACGGAGAAGGCUAUGUUAGCCGGGCGACGGUUGUCCCGGUUUAAGCAUGUAGGCGGAGGUUCCAGGUAAAUCCGGUACCUUUUAACGCUGAGGUGUGAUGACGAGGCACUACGGUGCUGAAGUAACAAAUGCCCUGCUUCCAGGAAAAGCCUCUAAGCAUCAGGUAACAUUAAAUCGUACCCCAAACCGACACAGGUGGUCAGGUAGAGAAUACCAAGGCGCUUGAGAGAACUCGGGUGAAGGAACUAGGCAAAAUGGUGCCGUAACUUCGGGAGAAGGCACGCUGGUGUGUAGGUGAAGUCCCUGCGGACGGAGCUGAGACCAGUCGAAGAUACCAGCUGGCUGCAACUGUUUAUUAAAAACACAGCACUGUGCAAACACGAAAGUGGACGUAUACGGUGUGACGCCUGCCCGGUGCCGGAAGGUUAAUUGAUGGGGUUAUCCGUAAGGAGAAGCUCUUGAUCGAAGCCCCGGUAAACGGCGGCCGUAACUAUAACGGUCCUAAGGUAGCGAAAUUCCUUGUCGGGUAAGUUCCGACCUGCACGAAUGGCGUAAUGAUGGCCAGGCUGUCUCCACCCGAGACUCAGUGAAAUUGAACUCGCUGUGAAGAUGCAGUGUACCCGCGGCAAGACGGAAAGACCCCGUGAACCUUUACUAUAGCUUGACACUGAACAUUGAGCCUUGAUGUGUAGGAUAGGUGGGAGGCUUUGAAGCGUGGACGCCAGUCUGCGUGGAGCCAACCUUGAAAUACCACCCUUUAAUGUUUGAUGUUCUAACGUAGGCCCCUGACCGGGGUUGCGGACAGUGUCUGGUGGGUAGUUUGACUGGGGCGGUCUCCUCCCAAAGAGUAACGGAGGAGCACGAAGGUUAGCUAAUCCUGGUCGGACAUCAGGAGGUUAGUGCAAUGGCAUAAGCUAGCUUGACUGCGAGCGUGACGGCGCGAGCAGGUGCGAAAGCAGGUCAUAGUGAUCCGGUGGUUCUGAAUGGAAGGGCCAUCGCUCAACGGAUAAAAGGUACUCCGGGGAUAACAGGCUGAUACCGCCCAAGAGUUCAUAUCGACGGCGGUGUUUGGCACCUCGAUGUCGGCUCAUCACAUCCUGGGGCUGAAGUAGGUCCCAAGGGUAUGGCUGUUCGCCAUUUAAAGUGGUACGCGAGCUGGGUUUAGAACGUCGUGAGACAGUUCGGUCCCUAUCUGCCGUGGGCGCUGGAGAAUUGAGGGGGGCUGCUCCUAGUACGAGAGGACCGGAGUGGACGCAUCACUGGUGUUCGGGUUGUCAUGCCAAUGGCACUGCCCGGUAGCUAAAUGCGGAAGAGAUAAGUGCUGAAAGCAUCUAAGCACGAAACUUGCCCCG
Molecule: ribosomal RNA, 1593 nt
Filed under: Klebsiella variicola
Lineage: Bacteria; Pseudomonadati; Pseudomonadota; Gammaproteobacteria; Enterobacterales; Enterobacteriaceae
Description: partial 23S ribosomal RNA
Rfam family: Bacterial large subunit ribosomal RNA
Source: RNAcentral